CUUUUCAUAAUAAAGAUUCUGCAAUCUGAUCUCAUCUGAUCUUGGAAGCUAAGCACAUUCAGGCCUGGCUGGCACUUGGAUGGGAAGCAAGUGGGAAAUACCAGGGAUCUCCAGGUAGAACGAAGA
RNAcentral lists this ribosomal RNA (126 nucleotides) under Pogona vitticeps (central bearded dragon). The record is from RNAcentral. Lineage: Eukaryota; Metazoa; Chordata; Lepidosauria; Squamata; Agamidae.